This 495-nucleotide ribosomal RNA is filed under the name uncultured bacterium. RNAcentral's name for it is "partial 16S ribosomal RNA". It matches the Rfam family "Bacterial small subunit ribosomal RNA", at positions 30 to 507 of the family's 1533-position model. The record is from RNAcentral.
UGAACGCUGGCGGCGUGCCUAAUACAUGCAAGUCGAGCGAACGGACGAGAAGCUUGCUUCUCUGAUGUUAGCGGCGGACGGGUGAGUAACACGUGGAUAACCUACCUAUAAGACUGGGAUAACUUCGGGAAACCGGAGCUAAUACCGGAUAAUAUUUUGAACCGCAUGGUUCAAAAGUGAAAGACGGCCUUGCUGUCACUUAUAGAUGGAUCCGCGCUGCAUUAGCUAGUUGGUAAGGUAACGGCUUACCAAGGCAACGAUGCAUAGCCGACCUGAGAGGGUGAUCGGCCACACUGGAACUGAGACACGGUCCAGACUCCUACGGGAGGCAGCAGUAGGGAAUCUUCCGCAAUGGGCGAAAGCCUGACGGAGCAACGCCGCGUGAGUGAUGAAGGUCUUCGGAUCGUAAAACUCUGUUAUUAGGGAAGAACAUAUGUGUAAGUAACUGUGCACAUCUUGACGGUACCUAAUCAGAAAGCCACGGCUAACUACGUG